Molecule: long non-coding RNA, 3671 nt
Organism: Sitodiplosis mosellana (orange wheat blossom midge)
Lineage: Eukaryota; Metazoa; Arthropoda; Insecta; Diptera; Cecidomyiidae
Exons: 2
Source: RefSeq, a predicted model, not a curated record
AAUUGUUUGUUUUGUUGAUUUCAACAGCCGCGAUACAAAUUAUUUGAUAAAAUUUGUUUUUACGAAAAACGAAAUCUUAUCGACGGCCUAAUCAAUUACUCAUCGCGAUUACCUGAAAAAAAAGAGCUUGUGUUUGUUUUUCGAUUUAUUUGAACGGUGUGUGUGUGGCAAUAUAUAGUUCAUUGUUCAGUCGGUGAUAGAGACAUUUGUCGGACGCAUAUAUAACGAAGUGAAUAACGAUUACAAGCGCACAGUUACCCAUUUACAUUCAUUUCAAAGUCGUUUAAAAUGAAAAGCAACGACUUACUUUCUCACAAUCAACGAAAAUAAUGAUGACAACAAUCAAAAUCUUAUCUUAAAUAACAUAAUGUAUACACGCAAAAUCGCCCGCAGCCAAAGCGCUCAGCCAAAACUGGAAUACCGAAGAUGAGCGAUAAGAAAGAGCGGCACAGAACUCGCGUGACAUACACACAGAAAAAUGCAGAUGAGAACCAAUGUGUUUCGAGUCGUUCGAUUUUAUUCAUUUACAAUGUGAUGCUAAUUAAUGCGACAUUGUGAAUUCUAGAACCGCCACACAGACGCGACUCAUUUAACCCUCUAAUGCAUACAACCGCCUCUAGACGGGCAAUAUUUGAACGCCUGUAGAACGUAAACCGUACAUCGGAUCGCAUUGAUUCAAAACGAAUUUUUAUUCGUCAAUGUUCUCUCUUUAUUUUUGUCUUUGGCAAUAUUUGUCUAUGUAGUGUGAUUCUAAAGUUAUAAACAAAAAUGUGUGCAAAAACAAAAAUUUGACAAAAUAAAUUAUUCGAACUCUAAAUUAGACACAUUUUUGAUACUUUUAAACAAUGGAUUUGAUUGUUCUAUGAUUUAUGUCAAUCGCAUUUUCUGACUUAACCAUGAGGAAUCCAGGAUUAUGAAUAUUUUUUUAAAUUAUCUAUGGCCAAAAAUCAACCAAGUACCAGUACUCCCAGCCCUGGGUAAAAUUAAUGCAGAGGGUUAAAUAAUAUGAUGCCAGAAAGUUCAUAUCCAAACAAUGAUUACUCUAUGGAACAAACAAAUUGAAUUUCAACCAAAAUUCCGAAUCGAAUGAGGAUUCUGUUUUUUUUCCUUUUCGGUAUUUUGAAACGAGAGAAAAAAUUGCAUAUUUUUUUCAAUUUUCUCUCACUGUCUGUUUACCAGCCAACGACAACAACCGAAAAAAUAACAAAUGUAAAUCUCAUACGAAAAUAAAUCUCCCGACCACGAAGUCGUAAUCUCUCUCGAAUCGCUGUUGGUCUCUUCGUUUUCGUUUCUGGUGAUAUUUUUUUUCCGUUUUUUUUUUUUGUUUUUAUCUCUGAGGAAAAUUAUUUAUUCCAAUAUUUUGCACACACAUCCAACAAACAACGAGAGGCUCGAUGACAUUUUUAUCAACUGUAAUCAGCAUCAGUGGCAGCUUAUUGUUUCAAUGAAUGCGCCCAGCAUUUUUUUCCAUAUAUUUUUUUUUGAUUGGCACCGCCAUGCCGUUGUCAUGUCUGUGUAGCUCUGUGACAAAAGGAAGCAAACAGAAAUCAUAUUAAAAUUCACACAAUAAAAUGCGGUAACGCGUUUCUUCGGAUGGUGCUCGUUUUUUCAUUCUCUCGUCCGUCUUCGUCGCAAUUAGUUUUGUUGGUGUGAGUGUGUGGAGUUUUAGCUUUGUUAAUUCUCUCGUCUUUUUUUCUGCUUGCAAAGAGAUGUUUGCCUUGUAUAAUAAAACGAAAAAGACGGAAAAAAAUUAACUUGUGAAUUUGGUUUUGCUGUUGAAUCUCAAAUGUUAUGUGAAUCUGGUCGGUUGACGUCGUCGUUGUCGCCGCUGUUCAUUAUCUUCCUUUUGGUUAUUUCAUCAUCGUGAUAUUAAUAAAUGGCCAAAGACUGGUAUCACCUUAGGACAAUUCAACAUUUGACAUUUUUCUUCAGCUAUUUUAUCUGCUUGCGAUCGAAACUGUGAUGCUGUUUAACACGCUGCUACCAUACACCGGAGCAGCAUUGGCGUUAGAAAGACCCCGUCAUGAUGUUACAAUUUCACAGCUGGGCGUAUUUAUGCGAUGAAAAAUAAAUCGAUCAAAACUAAUUAUUUCUUUUUUUUUCCCUUUCGAUGCUGAAAAACGACGAAGAAUUUAUGCUUUGCGAUCGAUUUUUCUCGUUUGUUUACAAAUCAUUGGGCACGAAUCGCCUCAUUCGAACGUGAUUCUGAGAAAGUCCAAUAACAAUGGCUUUGCCAUUCGUCACAAUAGCUUUUUUUCUCUCUCUCUCUAAGCUCUAAGUAUCGUUUGACGGCUCUGAUAUUUUUCCAUCGAUUCGUUUUGCAGCAGCUUCCCUCUUUAUUUUAGCAAAUACAGUCCGAUUAUCCUACUAGUUUGAGAGCAGCACGAAGUGGCAAAUCUAGGCAUGUACUUUGUUAUGCAGUACACAGAAAAAAAACGUGUUCUUCACACUCAAUCCGCACUUCGACUUCCUCCGGCGAUAAUAAAUCGUAGUGGUGUCUAUAAGCGAUGCGAUCCGAUGCAAUGCACACAGUUCGUUAAACCAUUCUUAACUAAAACUACAAAUUACGACUUGAGAUGCGGCAUGCAACCGAACGAGCUGUUCGCGUUAUCACGACAAAACACCAAAACACAAAGUGCAUUUCAACUUCAUUAAAAGCACUUUUUUAUGUUUCACUUUUCAUUUCAAUAUUUCCACUGACACUAGUGAGUCACACAGGCACAGCGCGAGAGCUGCUGUGCUGAGACGGCUAAAGAAUGUGCGUAGAAAGCAUUUUUUUAUUGCAUCUGCUGUGCAUGUACUUCCAACCGCUUUUUCUUUUUCACUCUGAAUAAACAAACAAACAGCAGUAGCGUAAAGUAUUCAUAGCCUCCAUUGACUUGACUCCUAAAAAUAAACGUGUAAUAUUUUUAAUAUUCAAAUUUUGCCAUAAAAACUUCGUUGGCUGAUGAAGUAUUAACCAUAUUUCCCUACUCCGGCCGAGAGUUCUGCAACUGUGCUACACUUUGUUUUUCAUCCAUGGUCAAAUCAGAAAGAAAGAACAUUCACAUCCACUCCAUUUGGAAAUGCUUUUAUAUAUAGCCAAAGUGAAUUCCAGUAGGGAUCGCGCCUCUUAAGAACAUCACGCUAGAAAACGACGUAAUCAUUUUAAAAAUACGAAUUGCUGCCGAUGUAUUAACUGGGAUGAAUAAACAUAUCUUCAAAUGAUCGUGAUUUAUUUGAAAAUCAUUAUCGUUUUUUCGCUCUCUCUCUGUCUUCAUUCCGUUUUUUUUUUGUUUACAUUAUAUUCAAAGUAUUUGUUUUAUUAUUGAACCUCUUCAUUUCGAGUGUCAUUUUUAUGAAAUUUUUACGCUGUUCAGCUGUUACCGAAGAUUAAAAGUCAUAGACAAACAUUUCCAACAGUCAAACUUUUAAUUGCCAUUCGUAUCAUUAAAAGUAUUGAGACUGGUUUUUGAGCUGUUUUAUUUUAUUGCCACACAUAUGACACACUUCGUACUUCGUUCAACAAGUGACACAACUCUUUCAACCUGAAACCUAAAUUAAUGCACUGAAUCGAGUGCGUUUUUUUUUCGGGGCGGGGUAAAUUUGCGUGUUUACUCAUUGUUAUUUAAAUAUUAUUUCGCACAGUGCGUGUUGUCAUCAAUAAAAGUUAAGUGAAAGAGAAAAAAAAA